This 175-nucleotide long non-coding RNA is filed under the name Numida meleagris (helmeted guineafowl). Its description in RNAcentral is "lncRNA (ENSNMEG00000010889.1)". The record is from RNAcentral. Lineage: Eukaryota; Metazoa; Chordata; Aves; Galliformes; Numididae.
AGACCUGCUUUCCAGAUACCAAGCUAAGAACAUAUUUUAGACUUCGAAUUCCUGAAAACAUCACUGAGACUUGAUUGCCUGUUUGUCCUGAUUCUUGCAUCAAACCUAAAGUUCAGCAAAAGGUUUAUUUUAUCUGUCUCCUCUGUUUUACCUUGGGGUUCAGCAUCUGUACAGG